GGUAGCGUGGCCGAGUGGGUCUAAGGCGUUGGAUUUAAGUCAUUUGAAUCCCAAUGGGCGCAAGUCCGCGUGAGUUCGAACCUCACCGCUACCA
This is a transfer RNA of Paxillus involutus ATCC 200175, 94 nucleotides long. It matches the Rfam family "tRNA". From Rfam's summary of the family: Transfer RNA (tRNA) molecules are approximately 80 nucleotides in length. Their secondary structure includes four short double-helical elements and three loops (D, anti-codon, and T loops). The record is from Rfam. Lineage: Eukaryota; Fungi; Basidiomycota; Agaricomycetes; Boletales; Paxillaceae.